UGUGAAGAUGCAGUGUACCCGCGGCAAGACGGAAAGACCCCGUGAACCUUUACUAUAGCUUGACACUGAACAUUGAGCCUUGAUGUGUAGGAUAGGUGGGAGGCUUUGAAGCGUGGACGCCAGUCUGCGUGGAGCCGACCUUGAAAUACCACCCUUUAAUGUUUGAUGUUCUAACGUGGAUCCGUAAUCCGGGUUGCGGACAGUGUCUGGUGGGUAGUUUGACUGGGGCGGUCUCCUCCUAAAGAGUAACGGAGGAGCACGAAGGUUGGCUAAUCCUGGUCGGACAUCAGGAGGUUAGUGCAAUGGCAUAAGCCAGCUUGACUGCGAGCGUGACGGCGCGAGCAGGUGCGAAAGCAGGUCAUAGUGAUCCGGUGGUUCUGAAUGGAAGGGCCAUCGCUCAACGGAUAAAAGGUACUCCGGGGAUAACAGGCUGAUACCGCCCAAGAGUUCAUAUCGACGGCGGUGUUUGGCACCUCGAUGUCGGCUCAUCACAUCCUGGGGCUGAAGUAGGUCCCAAGGGUAUGGCUGUUCGCCAUUUAAAGUGGUACGCGAGCUGGGUUUAGAACGUCGUGAGACAGUUCGGUCCCUAUCUGCCGUGGGCGCUGGAGAACUGAGGGGGGCUGCUCCUAGUACGAGAGGACCGGAGUGGACGCAUCACUGGUGUUCGGGUUGUCAUGCCAAUGGCACUGCCCGGUAGCUAAAUGCGGAAGAGAUAAGUGCUGAAAGCAUCUAAGCACGAAACUUGCCCCGAGAUGAGUUC
RNAcentral lists this ribosomal RNA (760 nucleotides) under Salmonella enterica subsp. enterica serovar Infantis. Its description in RNAcentral is "partial 23S ribosomal RNA". It matches the Rfam family "Bacterial large subunit ribosomal RNA", at positions 2052 to 2811 of the family's 2925-position model. Lineage: Bacteria; Pseudomonadati; Pseudomonadota; Gammaproteobacteria; Enterobacterales; Enterobacteriaceae. The record is from RNAcentral.